Molecule: non-coding RNA, 82 nt
Filed under: Rhodella violacea
Lineage: Eukaryota; Rhodophyta; Rhodellophyceae; Rhodellales; Rhodellaceae
Source: RNAcentral
ACUCUGACGGCGAUGGCGUCUCAAACGGACAAGAAAUGGGCGACCCGUGCUGUGUGUGGAAGGUCGGUGACGUCCCGGCCAU